GCUGUUUCAGGAGCAGAAGAACCCGAGGGAACUGGAGGAGAAGACAGACGCAAACCAGCCGAACAGAGAAAAAACAGGGGAAGCACACAGGGGGAUGAAAGAAAAAUGAAGACUGGGAACUAACACAGAAAAAAAAGACGAAAAAGAGAGAGGCAGAAAUAACACAAAAAACCUAAGGAGGGACGAGAGAAUACCAGGAAAAUAACAGAACAGAGCAAAGACAGUAGAAAGGAGGACCGGAGAACUGGAGGGAGAAUCCGGGGGAACUGAGGACGAACUGAGAGGAUAGAACCCGAGGGAACGAACUGGGGAAGCGAGGAACCAGAUAACAGAGAAAAAAUAAAAACCCACGGACGAAGAACAAAGAAAAAAACGGAAACACAGAAAGAACCCAGGACAGAAACCAGGGGACAUAAAUGAAAAGGAUAGAACCCAGAGGACGAACUAAGGAGGAACUGGAGGGAAGAGAGGAAAAAAAAAAACAGAGGAACGAGGAGAGCAGAGAGACAAAAAAACAGAGAAGAACAAAAACACAAGGACAAGGACAGAAUACCAAAGACAGAAGGAAAGAACACGGGAAGACGAAGAGGAAAACAAAACACAGAGGGUAAAGCAUAUGAUCAAUCAGCACACCAGUGCAUUCGGCUUCGUCUCCAGGUAGGUUCUUCUUUCCUUUGCCCCGCUUUUGCAAUUUUCAGUUUUUGCAGUGAAGUGCACGCGUGAAUUAGCUUGUGCGUGCUGCCACCAGCUAGGGCACUGGUUUGGACUAGGGCCUCAGGCUCUACUGGCUAAUCUCUUUUAUUUUAGUUUUUUUUAUUUUAAUAUUUGACUAAAGAAUUCCUUUUUAAUAUCAGAAAAUUUCAAAAAAAAAAUUGUGUAUCCUUUAGAAUUUAUUCGAAGGUCUCUCGUAUUUUUUUCAGGUAUUUCACUAUAUAUUUGAUCUAUAAAUUUUUAUUGUAAAAUACAAAUUUAGUAUUUGAUGUAUUUUAUUUUUUUCUUAAAAAAAAGAUAAAAAAUAUGUAUGUUUUGUUUUAAAUUCAUUUUAUUGGUAUAUUCACUAAUACCAAAGUAAGGAAUAUCAUAUUUUGUAGCUACGUAAUAUUUACCAAUACCAGAGUUAGAAGUAUCUGUAGCCGAAUAUUCACUAGCGUCAGAGUCAGGAAUAUUAUAGGCAAACCAUCAAAGAUAUCUUUCAUUUUAUGUAACCAGUCUCAUACCAUAAAAUCUCUGUUGACGAGUUAAGAUUUCUAAUGACUAUAAUAUUAGAUAGUGAUUUCUUAAAAGAUAUUUUUCAUUGAUGAAUAAGAUACCAAAAAUAUGUAUUUUUCUUCAAAGAUUUUUUUUAGACUGUCACGAUGUCGGGUGCAACAAUUAUUUUUAUUGAUUUUGUUUUUGUUCAAUUAUUAUGUAUUUCUUCCUUCAGCCUUGGUUUAUAUAGGAAAAGUCAUGGAUAACUUCUUUUCUUUUUGGAUAAUGAUUGAAGAUUUAAUUAAAUGGUCAUCAAGCGAUUGACAAAAAAAAUUAACAUACAAAUUAAAGGAUAAGUAAAAGUACAAUAAAUAAAAGUGAAGGCUCUUUUUAAUUCUAUAACAAACACCAAAAUAAAAUCAGAAAAGCCUUGAGAAUUAGCAUAUAUAACAUGAGAUCCCAGUAAACUCAGACCAUGGAUGACAAACAAACAGAUGCAACAACAACUCUAAAAAGUCGCCACCUCCACAAUCAAGUACCAAGAAAUUAACUUUGAUGGAUGUAUCUCAACUGAUUAGAUCCUGGGUUGCUCCCUAGAGAUCACUAGUUUGAGUCCCAUAAAUCUCAGGGCCACUAGAGACUUAUAUGGUCAUUAACUUCAGGACCCGUGGAAUUAGUCAAAAUACAUGCAAAUUGGUCCGAAUAUCAUGUUAAUCUUUUUUUUUAAAAAAAUAAGAAAUUAAUGAAUCAGAAGCUACUCAGCCCUCCCCCUUUCAUUAUUAGUCCAAAGUAAAAUACCCUCAACAUUAUGAACUAAGUCAAGCCCGUGUAAUGAAAUUCUUCAUUAUUUGAUCGCAACCACAAAACCAAUCGAUGCAAAAUGAGAUAAAAAAUCAUAUCCCAGAUACGAGCUCGACCAUUAAACACAAAGUCAUUUCUCGCUAGCCAUAUACCCCAAGCUAUACCAUAAGAGAGAUUGAUCCAAACUUCCUUUGGAAUUUUCCUUUGGCAAGAGAAGGCCAUUGAAAAAUUAACUGAUAGCGACUGCGACAUAAUCCAUUUGACACCCUAUCAAGAUAGGAAACGAGACCAAAUUUUCCAAGUAUAAACACAUCAGACCAGAAAAUGAUAUGAAGAUUCUAGGUGGAUUUUGAUGGAUAACUUCUUGUUAACCACCCACUUUCUCCAUUGCUCCUCAUUUUAAGGAUGAACAACUAAAACUGCCCAUCUAUAUUAUCUCAUGUGUUUUAAUUAGUUUCUUUUACAAGUGUAGAUCUUUCCUAUAGCAUGUCUUAUCUUUCUUCUAAUCCAAACUUCAUAACUCUUAUAAAACUUAUUAGGUCCAAACUUAUUUUAAUAUGGAAACAUUUAAUAAGUUCAGUCUACUAUUUCAACUUUUUUUUUUUAUCUUUUGACUUAAAUUAUUUCUCAAACUAAUUUAUUGUGUAACUCCUAAGCUUUCCACUGCAUGCUUCAUUUUCUUUUUUCUUUUUUUUUUUGGUAUAAAAGUCCAGACCUUUUAAUCCACUCCAAGACUUUAAAUAGUUAUUUUUAUUUUUAUGUUUUAAGGUUUUUAUUUUUAUUUUUUUGCAUUCGUAUAUAAGAGCUCUUUGAUUCUUUACGCGUCCUAGCAAAUUCAAUCGCUUCUUUGUUAAGCCACCGCUAUAUAUAGUUUAUCAUGUUUCCUUCGUAAUGUGAAACCUUCUUUUCCUAUCAUUCUAGGGUUUUUAUUUUUUGUUUGUUUUUGCAAUUGCGAACUACAUAAUUGACAGAUUUGUCCAUUCCCGUGACGAAGCAUAGACAAUGCCUCUAGUACAAUCUUGUAGAGUAAAAACACAAUAUAAUUGCGUGUUUGGGUACUUUUAGAAAGGAAGUCCUUGGAGUUGGAAGCUUGUUUAGAGAAGAAGGCUUCAGGUUUGGCAGGAAGAACUUGGGGCAAAGAUGCUUGAUUUUUCCAACUCAUCGGAGAAUAUUGAUUUCCAACCAUAUUCUUUCUUGGAAAAUAAUUUUCUUAGCGGAAUCAUACAGCGGUAUUGCCACACAAUAAUAUGUACCUUAAUACUUUUAAUAAUUAAAAAAAAACUUGUGAAAAUAGGUUUAAAUAAUAAAAUAGGAAUGAAAAAGAAGUUUAUAACCUUAGAAUGCUACUAGAAAUGGGUGGAAUAGAGGUGGCUUAUAAGCUUUUUAAUCUCUUUCCACUUGUUGCUGCUAACGAUGAUUCACACCUUCGCUAACAGGGUUUUUGGAACUGUCAUGUUCAUUUUUCUUUACAACUUCUUCUCUCUCUCUCUUUCUCUCUCUCUCUCUCUUUAUAUGUAGUAGGAUAAUCUAUAUGGGUUGUCAUGAUGAAGAAGGAGGUUGUUUUAACAAGUGGAGUUGUGUUCGUUAUGGGGUUAGUGUUUGGAGGCUAAACGAGGAAUAAGCAAAAGCAUAUCAAUCCAUUGGGUUUAUUUCAGAGUAGAUCGGGUCUGAUGAUGAUCACUAAUGGUGGAUUUAGAGGGAAGAAAAGGAUGGUCAUCAAUGGGUUGGUAUGGGUUGUGGUGGUUGAUUUGUCAACCAGGAGUAGUGUGAUGGUUAUGUGACGUUGUUUCCUUGACUCUUUCUACUUUUAAGGCAGAAUAUGUGUGGUGUGGUGUGGUGUGGUGUUAGAAGACAAUAAUAUAAAUUAUAUUUUGAGAUUUUAUUUAAUAGUUUAAUAUUUUUGAUUGAAUUUGUUUUUUUAAUAUAGUAUUAAAGUUUUGAUAACUAAUCAGUUACAAAUUUAAAUUUCACUAUUCUUAUUUAUUUGAUAAAAAAAUAAAAUACAAGGUAAUGUGAGUUUAUGCAUGUUUUAAGUUUAAAAUGCUUUCACUUGAGAGAAUGUAUUAGAGAAUAAUAUAAAUCAUAUAUUAAGACCUCACAUAAUAAUUUAAGAUUUUGGAUUGAUUUUUUGACAUGUGACAAUGAUUUUUUUACGUUUGUGUGUAGUUAAAGAGAAUUUUCGAGAUAAUGCACAUGUGUCGAGACAAAAGCAUAAAGAUUUUUGUUGAUAAUAACUCUACAAUUAUUUUAGGAAAAAAAACCCAAUUUUUUUAUAAGAGAAAUGAGCAUGCAAACAGCAGAUAUCCCUCUAUUAGAGAGUGCAUAAGAAAAAAAGAGGUGUGACUGGGUUAUGUUAAAUUCAUUAAUCAAGUUGCAUAUAUUCUUACAAGGGUUUUGAAAUGAGAAGAUUUUUGCAAAUUAAAAGCUUUGCUAAGACUUAUCUAGAGAUAGGUUUAAGGAAGGACGUCGAGGGUAAAUUUAUACUAUAAUAAUGUUUUAUCUAUAUAUACAAUUUAGUUCAAGCUGUAGCGGUUUUAACAACAAACAAACCGUUAUUGUUUCUUAACUACCUAAGAUUUGGAGCCAUAUCUGUGCCAAGCACCAAGCUCAUUUCAACGGAACCGCGCAUGCUCAUUUCAGAUGACAUCUCCAUGGCCAGACAUUCCUUUAGCUCUCCCAAAAUAUCACUCAUGUCCGGCCUUUGUGUUGAAGUCGGGGGCACGCAGGACAGUGCUAUCUCCAGAGCUUUCCAAGCACAAUUAGUGUUGAAUUCACCUUGCAGCCUUGGAUCGAUAAUGCUUUGGAUAUCCCCUAUUUCAAUUAGAGGACUCACCCAUUGAAGUAUGUGAGUGUGGCCCUGAUGGCCCCUUAUUAAAGGCGGUUGACCAGUUAUUAGCUCACAUAGAAGAAUACCGAAACUGUAAACAUCACUUUUCUUAUUUAAGUUUCCUGAUGCUCGAAAUCUGCAUACAGAAUAUAAUAAUAAUUAUUCUAGGAGAACGAACAUUGUGCGAGAAGAUUAACAUUAAGUGUGAAUACGUACUCAGGAUCAAUGUAUCCGGGCGUGCCUGCAGGUACAGUUAUGACAUGCGAGUCUCCUUCGGUGGCGAAUGCUUUGGACAGCCCGAAAUCAGCAAUCUUGGCAUGAAGGUUUUUAGUUAAUAAGAUGUUGGAUGAUUUCAAAUCUCUAUGGACUAUUGGCGGUUUGCAACCAUUAUGCAAAUAUUCCAAACCUGCGAGUUCGAUAAUGCCAGUUAAUCCAACAAAAUUUGCAGAACAAAAAUGAAGAAAAAAUAACUCAGGCACUAGAGUGAGACCUUGUGCUGUGUCUACUGCAAUUUGCAGCCUUUCCCUCCAUUUCAACAUAUUUGUGCUAUUUUCUGCAGCCACAAAAACACACUAAGAUCAUAAAUUAAACAAUAAACUUUGCAAUGUGAUGAAUGCAACAGGAAUUAUGUUUCAUUACACAUAGAAGUUCAUCGAUACUAGAUGAUUGCCAAAGAAUAAUUUCAACUUAAAAGUUUAAGCUAUUGAGUGAGGUCUUAAGAUGUGAUUUAAAUUAUUAUCUAACACCCCCCUUAAGUGAAAGCUCUAUGGACUUGAAAUUUGCAGAGACAUAUAAUGAGAUUCGAACUCAUGACAUCUUGGUUAUCAAGGCUCUGAUACCAUGUUAAAAAAUCAUCUCAACAUAAAAGCUUAAGUUAUUAGGUGAGAUUACAAAAUAUAAUUUAUAUUAUUAUUUAAUAAUGAUAAAUUCGUACAAAUCUGAGUGAGAGUUCUAUCUGUAAACUAGUUUUUAUCCUAAAAUAAUUGAAGAAUUCUAUGUUUAUGAGAGUAAUUCUAUAAAUACCUAACAAUUGCUCCUUCAAGUUCCCAUUUGCCAUGUAUUCAUAAACAAGUGCCAUAUUUGCAUGCUCAUUACAGUAACCAAUGAGGGACACCAAGUUUCUGUGAUGAACAAUCAUCAAUAGUUGGACCUGCAUUUGGAAACACUACUCUGUCAUAGCUGAAAGAAAAAUAUUUGGUGCAUCUCUCUUGUCCUCUACAGGAAAGGAGAAAGCUAACUAAUUUGUUACCUCCGCUAGAAAUUCUUUAUAACCUUGCCUUGAGGAUUGAGAUAACAACUUGACAGCAACUUGACGACCAUCUUUGAGGUUUCCAAGAUAUACUUUUCCAAAUCCUCCUUCUCCAAUAAUGGUUUGGAAAUUAUUGGUAAUGCUAACUAUUUCAGUGUAUGUAAAUGGUUGAUUCUUUGAUUUCAGUGACAAUUCUUUUCUAGAUAAGCCCACUGAGAAAGAUAAUGACACAUUCAAUCUCCCUGCAAAGGAAAAUUUUGUUUUUUUAUAAAGCGAUAAAUAUUCCAAUAUUUUAAUAGAGAUACUAAAGUAAGCAACUAUAUAUGUCAUCAUAUUUACAUGUCAAAACUAUGUUAUUGCUUACUGAUUACAUGCUGAAUCGUAUUCUCAUCUGCUAAGUUGCAAGAAGGAAAUGAGGUAUUGGGGGUGGUAUCCAGAUUAGAAUUAUGAGAUGAUAGGUAAUAUAAAAGUUGUUGGGAGCGCAUAAUAUGAAUGAUAUAUAUAUAUAUAUAUAUAUUGAAAAUGAAUGAAAAAACUAAAGUGCUUACAUAUAAGAUAGACUCAUAAAAUAAUAUUCUAUUAAGUUGAAUACAGUGCUUACAUAUAAGAUAGACUCAUAAAAUAAAAUAAUAUUGGAAUAAAAUAAUAUUCCAAUAUUUUAGGUCAUAUAUGUAAGCCAUGGGAUGUAUAGAUCAUCAAUGAUUUCACAGAAAACACAAAGCAUCUUGUAAGCCCAAAUUACUCUAUGUUAUUCUAGGAUUUAGUUAACAACACUCAAAAGAGGGGAAAGAAUACCGAGAAGAUAAGUGAAAGAGAAAGAAUUCACCUCCUUUCAACCUCCAGAAGAUGGUUAUAAUGCUAAGGAGGAGGAGCACCGAAACUGAUAUGACAGAUGCAAUAACUGAAACAGAAAACUUCUUCUUUUCACAUGUAUCCAUCUUGCAUAAAUCCAGAUUUCCUUCCAAACUUGCAUUAAGUAAAAUAUUGUCAGAUGUAACUGAGAAUCAAUGAUUAUAUACCAGUAACAAAUAACCCAAUCAAAGUGAUCAUGGUUAGCUUUAGAAAGUUAGCAAGAUCACUGUGAAAUAUACCGAAGAAUUGUAUCAGUUACAUAAUUCCUUAAACUCGUACUAACAUGCAAAGGGAAUGGAUUUGUAUAAUCUAUUUUCUGACUCCUUUUUGUUCCUUAACGUUUAAUUUCAAUUUAUGAAAAAUCAAAACAAUGUUCACUUCAUAUGUAAGAAAAGAAGUUAGAGAAGAACCAAAGGAGAAUGAUUGUUUAAUUAACAUGCAGAUAAGUUGUAAUCAUUAAAGAUGAUAACCAAACCUCAGUUGCAACUGUCCAUUGUUAGACUUUUCCUUGAGACCAUGAGGAACUGCACCUGUGAGUUUGUUCCCACUCAAAUAUCUGCAAAAAGGGAAAAAAAAAAGUCACCAUUCACCAUGGUAAUCCUUGUAAAAACUUCUUGUGGUAAAAACCAGAGUAUGUUAAAUUACAUGCUAGUAAGAUUUGGUAGUUGCGCAAAAGCUUCUGGCACUGUCCCUGUCAAUUCAUUGUUUGAUAAAUCCCUGAAAGAAAAUGUGAAGAAAAAAUAACAAACAAUCACAUUUUGUAAAGAAAUAGAUGACAAAAGUAUGCAAUAGUUGGGAAAAAAAUAGAGGUUCUUCCUCCACUGAUCUGAAGUAUGAACACCCAUUUUUGCAACUUUGGUGGAGCCAGAUAUCCCAAUCGUUGGCUUGGAGGAUUUUGUCCAGAAAAAAUACAUAUAGGGAGAGUGGUUAUGCUUCAGCUUAUAAGAUGCAUGAGCCCUUCAUACACCUCUAGCCAAUUUCCAUAUGGAAUAUUCAUAACAUCACCUUCAGACUUCCAUAAGAUAAUGUCUCAUCAUAAGACUGAGGUGCCCUCUAAUUUCAAGGGUCUCGAACCAAUAAACAAUAGUUCUCUUCAAAUAGAAUAAAGUCCGUAAGAAAUUCUAGUAGUGACUGUCAUUCUAGUGCUAGAUAUCUAGUAGCCAUUGCCAGGGUAGUUUAUUAGUAUUAAAACCUGUUACAACUUGGUUAUUAACACUUACAAGGAUUGGAUUGCUGUGAGGCUCAAGAGUGAAACAUCUAUAUUCCCUGAUAAUUGACUUGAACUUAGAUUCCUGCUCACAAUUAAUUGUAAAAGAGUAAGACAUUGAGAUACUGAAUGUCGUAUCUAAGUGGUUGUUCUUCAAAAAUAACUUCCAGAAAAUAUUCCAAUAAUUAUACGGAAUUUAUGAGGGAACUCACAGCGAGAUGAUCCUUGGAGGAUUAUCAUUGUUGCACUGCAAACCAGACCACGUAGUAAGUGGCAAACAUGGAUCUCCUUGCCAGUUAACUCGAUCUAUUUUGUAUGCUUUCUUGAUGGCCAUGAUUGCAUCAACUAUGAUAAUUUAGGUUAAAAAGGGUGAGAAGUGCAUAACUUUAGAUUUAUAAGAGAGAAUCGCUAUAUACUAGGUAAAGGCCUUUAUAUCAAAAAAAUCUCGAUCUCACCUUUUUGUGACGAGAAUAAUUUUUUAUGAUGAAUAUAUAUAUAUAUAUCUCAAUUAGUCAUUAGGCUUUAUCAUUAGGCUUUAUCAUUUGUACGGUGGCUAUCAAACAAAUCAUGUGUAUGAUUUUAUAAGAUUCCAAUUGAAUUUUCAGAUUAUAGGCCAACUGGUUUGUUUAAUGGUCUAUAUAAAGUUCUUGCAAAGAUUCUUUCCAACAGACUCAAACAUGUUAGCAAGGAUCUUAUUAGUGAUAAUCAAAUUGCCUUUAUAAUUGGACGUUAGAUUGUUGAUGGUUUUAUGAUAAGCAAUAAAGUGGUUCAUGAUCUUCAAAGUGGAUUUCCAUAAAGCUUUUGAUUCUGUAUCCUAGAAUUAUCUUGAUGAUAUUAUGGGAUAUAUGGGUUUGGGGGCUAAAUGGAGAAGUUUAAUAUAUGCAUGUCUCUUUACUUCUCAAUUAUCAGUUCUUAAUUAUUAACGGGUCUCCUACUAGAGAGUUCAAGGUCACACGAGGAAUUUGUCAACGUGAUUUGUUAUCUCCAUUCUUGUUUCAUUGUACAUCAGAGGUUGGUUUAUUCAAAAGGGCUACAAUUGAGAUGACACCUUGGUGUUCUUAUCGGUCAGUUUGCAAUCUUUAUUCACGGUAAAGUGAACCCUCUAAUGGUAUGAAUUAUGUUUCGGUCUGAAAAUUAAUUUCCAUAAGAUUCAGUUGUUGGAAUUAAUCUUUAUUCACAUAUUAUAGUAUUACAUAGAUCCAACUGGAAACUCUCUCUUGAAAACUAGAUAAUGUUACCGGACCUACGAUAACGGGUGAUUUGAGCAGUUAGGUGUGGGUCUAUCAUAGCUAUAUAAAGAUCUGACUCAGAUAUGUUAUAUGGAUGACCUAGAAGAUAUAUUUAUAGACCAAGGGGACAUGUCUAUGACCAAGAAUAAAUAUGGUAGCAUCAUACCAGAAUAACAGUUCAAAAGGGCCAUAACUUUUAUUUCAAUCAUUGGAUUGCUGUCAAAUUUUUACAGGAGAUUCCAAAGGUUGUUUUGGUAAAACCUCUGGGUAAAAAAUCAUAAAUGGACUAAUUUCAUGUAAAAUAAAAAAAUUCAUAACUCUCGAUCGGGUUAUUAAAAAAUUCUAAAAAUUUGCAUGGAGCCUUCUCAUAUGAUGCCUUAGCUUGGGUUAAAAUUUCAGAAUUUUUAGAGAAAUUUGGAAAUUUGAUGAAAAAUCACAAUUUGACUAGUUUUACGUUAUUGGAUGUAAUUUUCAAUCCGACAAUCAGAUUGAGCUGAAAUUUUAUGAGGAAUCUUAAAAUAUAUUGAAUAAAAUCUGGUUAAAAUUUUAGGAUGAACGAAACUCGGUAGUGCUAGUAAAAAAAAGACCGUCAAAUAUAAGCAAAAAGACUCAUUAAGGGUAAAAUGAUUAUUUGCCAUUAAAAAUAAAACAAAUCAGCUCCUUUUCUAUUAUAAGCCAACUGGGCAGAAACAAAAUGUGAAAAGAAAAAAACAAGAGAAGAACGUUAGAAAUCAAGAGAAAAACAAGAAAAAGUGAGAGAAAGCUUUGAAACUUGUAAGAUUGAAAGACUUGGAACAUUAAAUUAAGGAAGAAUCAAGUGAAGAAAGAUAUAAGAAAGGAGAGGAGGGCUGGCCACACUAGGAGGAGAAGAGAAGUUGGGAGAACUUAGAUUGGUAAGCAUGAAAAAUUAAGAUUCUUACUUGAAUGAAUGUUUUUGAGUUUAUUUAAGUAAUCAGACAAUGACAAUUAAAUUUGAUUUAAUUUCUUAUAUUCUUGAGUUUUUAAAUUAGGGUUCUUAUGAGAAUUUUGGGAUUUUAAGAAAAGUAGUAAACAUGAUGGAAUUGAGGUAGAAUAGUAUAGAAAUAGUGAAUGUAAGUAGUAAAUAAAAAAUAAAUUGAAUAAGUUUGAAGAAAUGAACUUGUAACUAAGGAUGAGGAAAUAAAGGAAAGAGGUUUUGAUUGUUUUAUGUUUGAGAAAUGACGUCCUUUAUCUUAAUUAUUUGAAGUAUAACAAGUAAAGAAACAUCAUAAGAAUGUGAAAAGAAGGAAUAAAUAAAUGCUAGGAAUAGUUCAUGGAAGAAUUCUUUAAGUGAGUUAAAAGAAGAAAAUUGAUUAAAACUAUAUGUUGAAAAUGAGGUGACAAAUGAAUGAAAAUUUUAGUGCAAAACCUAAUUAAAUAAAAAAUAUUACGUGCUUCCAAUGUAGGCACAUAGGAGAAAUAAUAAUGGAUUAAUAAUGUAGUGCAAUUUGAUUGAUUCAAGAGUUGUUUCGGGAGCAAGGCAUCAGGCAGGAGAAGCUAUGCCAUCACGAGCAGACGAUAGGUGAUUCAUCACUUUCUUUUAAAAUUCAAAGUUUCAUUAUUAGUUAUGAGUUGUUUAUGACAUAUUGUUAUGAAAAAAGCAGAAGAAGAAACUUGUUUGUAUUAUAAUUCAGAUGUUGGAUAAUUCAUAUGGAAUUACCGGUUAGAUUGGCUAUUAAUAGAAAAUAGCCGGAUGUUGGGUAAUUCAUAUGAAAUUAUCAGUUAGAUUGGCUAUUAUUAGAGAAUAACCGGAUGUAGUUCAUAUGGAAUUAUCGGUUAAAUUGGCUAUUAAUAGAGAAUAGUCGGAUGGUGGUUAAUUCAUAUGGAAUUACCGGUUAGAUUGACUAUUAAUAAAGAAUAGCCGAAUGUUGGGUAAUUCGUAUGGAAUUACCGGUCAUAUUGGCUAUUAUUAGAGAAUAGCCGGAUGUUGGGUAAUGUGUAUGAAAUUACCGAUUUGAUUGUUGGUUAUCGAAGAGGGUUAGUCGGGUUUGAGGUAAAAUUAUGAAUUAUCAAAUUAAAAGUUAAGCAAUGAGUGUUAAUUGCAGAAGUCCUAUAAGUAUAGGAUUAAUAAAUUAUGAAUGGGUUAUUAAUGUUGAUAUGUAGUAAGUUAGUGAUGAAAGACAAUUUGAUAUAUUUUGAAGAAUUGUGAACAUAAUAGCUUUAUCAUUUUUAAUGUGUUAUCUUCUUUAUUUCUUAUUAAUGUUAUGUAUACAGGUUUUUCACGAGGUGAUGCGGAGCGUUAAAUAUGGGUUUUGUGUUUAAAUCUGUUUAUUUUGUG
RNAcentral lists this long non-coding RNA (11649 nucleotides) under Populus trichocarpa (black cottonwood). RNAcentral's name for it is "long non-coding RNA (PTRI_LNC004234)". The record is from RNAcentral. Lineage: Eukaryota; Viridiplantae; Streptophyta; Magnoliopsida; Malpighiales; Salicaceae.